UUUUUUUUUUUUUUUUUUUGAGACACAGCCUCCCUCUGUUGCCCAGGCUGGAGUAGAGUGGUGUGAUCUCAGCUCACUGCAACCUCCACCUCCCAGGUUCAAGCAAUUCUCAUGCCUCAGCCUCCUGAGAAGCUGGGAUUACAGGCACCACCAUGCCCAGCCUGGACUCACUUCUCUAUGUUAAAAAGGAGGUUUACAAAUUCCUGAGAGUUUAGUUGCUGAAUUCUGACCUGGCAUAUAAUAAUUCAAGUGUUUAAUAAAUCAGUAGCAAUUUUCCCAAAUCCAGAGUUUGAUAUGGAGCUAAACCAUGUCAUGAGCUCACCUAUCAUUCGAGUUACUUUGCCCCUUAGGAAUGAAGUCACUGGAGUAGAAGCAACCUGGUUUGAGAGGGUUAUGUGGUACAUCGUUUUCACAAAUUUCAGAAAUAAUUUAUACUACUUUACUUUCUAAGGAAGGUGGAAACCUAAAGUGGGUGAAUAACUGAAAACUUGGGAUUUUAUUUUCCUAGAGGUGGGGGUCUUGCUAUGUUACCCAGGCUGAUCUUGAUCUCUUGGCCUCAAGUGGUGAUCCUCCCACCUAAGCCUCCUGAGUAACUGGGACUACAGGUGUGUGCCAGACACCUGGUUAAUUUUUUUUAAAAAUUAUUUUUAGAGACGGGGGUUUCAUCAUGUUGCCCAGCCUAGUCUCUAGCUCCUGGCCUCAAGCAAUCCUCCUGCCUCGGCCUCCUAAAACUGGGCGUGGUGGUGCGCACCUGUAGUUCCAGCUACUCAGGGUCUGAGGCAGGAGAAUGGCUUGAACCCAGGAGCUAGAGGCUGCAGUGAGCCAAGAUUGCACCACUGCACUCCAGCCUGGGCGGCAAAGCAAGACUCUGUCUCAAAAACAAAAAAACAAAAACAAAACUCAGCUAAGUUUAAACUGGUAGAAUAGAGUCUGGAAGAAAAUAAAUUAGUAAGUAAACAUUUCCUUGCUAAACAACUGCAAGGGAAAAACCAGGAUAUAGUUUUACAUUUGGGACAAAUAUUAAUCAAUAUACUUUGAGAGGGGCACUUAAAAAUACUCUUUUCAGGAUAAGAAAUAUUAAGGCGAUAUAUUCUCUAAGAGUAAGUUUCUAUAUAAUCUAACUUAGUUUAGGCUUAAGUUGUACGAAAUACCAUUUGUAUUAGGUUGAUAACCAAUUUAGUUUAUUAGGAAUGGUACUAUAUAAAAGAUAUAUGCUGAUGGAAAGCACAUUUGAUACCUCAAAAGACAAUGCUGACAACGCCACUUUUGCAGUGUGCUUACAAAGGAACAAAAAACAAAACAAACCCCAAAGGCCAUUUCUUUCUCAAAUAAGAAAUACAAAUGCAUGAUAAACUUCAGUGCUUGCAGCAAAAGUAGGCAUUAAAGAAAAAUGCUAUAAAAUAUAUUUCUUAAAAAUAUGCAGCGCAGUUUUUUUUUUCUUCCCACCUUUUUGGGGCAGAACUAUCUCUGGGCCAUCAGCAGUCUUCUCUCUUGCCUGGAGCCUCCCUAACCUUCCAUAUCUUAUCCAAAUUGUUGAUCAAAAGAGCUCUUUAAAAAGAGUUUAAAAGCCAGUAUUUACAGUUUAUAGACUCUACAGUUAAUCUUAUCAAUCUCUAAAAAACCUUGUACACAUGAAUGCCUAUCAAGUGUCAAGCACUAGGCUGGGUUAUCAACGUAAAGAAUGACACAUUUACUUGGGAGUAGGGAUUCUGUCGAGUUUAAAGAGGCAAAGAAAAGGCUCCAAUUGUGUUAUCCAGAAGUGAGAAAGAUGCACUCCAGGUAGUAGGACAAAAGCACAAAGGUAUGAGAUGGCAAAGUACUUUUGAGAUGGCGUGCAUUUUAAUUGUAGCACAUCAGAAGAUAUGCUAUGUGAACCUAGUAAGCUUAUUGCAAUUGCAAUGUUCCAAAGUUAAGAGACAAUGAUUUCAACAAAAAUAAGGAAAAGAAGGUUGGGGUGUAAUUUACUCAAAUAAUCUUUGUGAGGGGAUAGGGGAAGAAAUUUCUGAGGAAACAAGUACCAAGCUUAGUAUUUUCAUUUAGCUCAGAAAGCCUGCAGUCCCCAGUAAACUUUUACAUUGCCUACCUAUAGCUCUGAAGCUGGCAGAGCUAAGAUGGAGGUGAAAAUUGGAGAGGUAUUGGAACAUAAUAGGCCCAAAUGAAAUUGCCCAGGCAUAAUACACGAACGUAUGAAGGCAGUCAAAGAAAAGUAAUUCCAAGUAUGAACAGUAUUUAAAAUGCCAUGGGAAAGUCAAGAAAAAUUGAGAGCUCAAGAAGUUCGUGGAUUU
RNAcentral lists this long non-coding RNA (2285 nucleotides) under Macaca fascicularis (crab-eating macaque). Its description in RNAcentral is "lncRNA (ENSMFAG00000057975.1)". Lineage: Eukaryota; Metazoa; Chordata; Mammalia; Primates; Cercopithecidae. The record is from RNAcentral.